Molecule: long non-coding RNA, 5669 nt
Filed under: Medicago truncatula (barrel medic)
Lineage: Eukaryota; Viridiplantae; Streptophyta; Magnoliopsida; Fabales; Fabaceae
Description: long non-coding RNA (MTRU_LNC000980)
Source: RNAcentral
CUUAUGUCAUCAUAAUAACUCAAGAAAAUUUAGAUAUUGUUCGUAAUUUCUUUUUCUUUUUCUUUCUUUUAAGGAAUCGUCUGUUUUAUCAUUUAUAAAUACAAGCACAUAGGAGCUAAUUGAGUUAUUGAAUGCAUUCUGUUAUUAUGAUUAGAAAUAAAUAAUAACAGAUAAUUUGGUCCUGAAUAAAUUUGUCAUUUAAAUGGACAAUUAUAACCCAUUCCAAAGGUAGAAAAAUGAAACAAAAUCUAAACAAAUCUAAAUGAUGACUAUUGUACAAAAUUUUCUUGCUAAUCUAUGUCAGUCUCCUUUAGUGUAAGAUUUAUAGCCCAUUGAAGUGAGAAGUAAUAUGCAAGAAAACGUCUUCUGUGCAAGGAAUUGUGAGGCCGCCCAUUGGAUGGUCAUAUCCAAAUUCUUCCUCGGCUUGACUCAACAGGUUUUGAAAUGAAGCUUGGUUCAAGUAUGACGUGGGGAUAACAAAUCGCUUCAUUUGCUCUCCAACGUACACUGCAAGAUAGCCCUUUGGCACAUUCAAUACUUUUGAUGUUUGGCUACUGCUGAAUGAAGCCCGUCUAAUAGCUGCAGGUAAACGGAAACCCAUUUCAAAUGUUUUGAAGAACAAGAUGAAUUUCUCAGAUAUAAGAUAAGUGUAUAAAAGAUUGAUUGCUUGAGUGAUUUGUGAUUGUUGUGAAGGAGGACACUGUAUUUAUAGUUUCCAAGAGUUUUUUGAAAUCCCUUUGCUAGGGAAUUGAUUGUUAAAAGAAUAGGGCCCAUGAGACAAGAGAUCACAUGGGAUUGUCUUAGAUGCCUCUAUCAAGGAUCAAUAAGUUCAAUAAGAGUGCAAACUGUAACCACUCAAAAUCUAAAGAGAUAUACUUAUCUUGUUAUACUCAAUGCUUGUACAAUGCCAACUCAUUUCUUCUUAGACAUGCAUCAGACAUGGCACAUGUUCUCUUUACAUCGAUAACACAACUUUAUGUUGAUGAAUGACCUGACGAAUUAUGAGAAAAAUAUCAGUCAUACGCAAUCACAUUAUUUAUCAACUGUGCAUAUUUACUGUUCUUGAUUUAGUUUUUGAAGGUCCAGGUUGGAGACAAUAGACAAGAUAUGGUUCACAAGAGAUCACAUGAUACUCUCAAGAGGUCUUUUUCAAAGAUUGAAUGAUUGCUUAAGACUUGAGACAAUAAUUAAAUAUAUGUCCCACGUUAAGAAACUUGGUCGUUACAAUUUACAAAGGCUAAAAAUUUCUGAUAUCAAAACUUGGUCCUACCAAAUACCUUAUGAAUUAUGAUUAUUUUCUGUGCAAAACGCAUAAAAUUUAUACUAAGGUAAUCAAGAUUGAAAGUCCGUUCACUUAUCAGAAUUAAAUGCUACAAAGCUCAAGCUUUUUGGUAAGAAAAAACCUCUGAAAGGACUUAUCCCAAUACAUAAACUGAUACUACCUCAUCAAUUAUGAAGAAGAUUUAACAAAUACCAAGUUAGUUGGAGCACUGCCUUUUCAAUGCAGUAAAGUUUGCAAGAAUACAAAGUAUGACACAUUUUAAAUCCUGCUAGUUCUGUGGAAGAGUGAAAACACAAAACACGAUGAAAUUCAAUCAUUUUGCAGGAGUCUAUCCAUAUGAAGACGAGACUUGCAACAACUUCCAAGUAUAUUUCAUGGUUGAUUGAAUUUUAUGCAUCCUCUAGACUUAAGUGGGGUUAAAACGAAGACAAAGGCUAAGACAAAGUACCAUUUUAGAUGAUUCAUUUUUUAACUACAUUUCAAUGGUUCAUGAAACAUUACACUUUUUAACCAUUUGACUAAUUCAGACCUCGCAAUGACAUCAUAGAUCUUCCAUAUCUUAUAUAUAUUCCCACCUUUUACCUUCAACCCUAAUCCACCCUAGGCAACUGUCACCCAUUGACCGACCCUAUUCCAGCCAUCAGCUUGCCUUCGUUAUAGAUCGUGGCUCUUGUGUCGUAAAUAUCACUAGAGCCACUGUCAGGUUGUCUCAUACAUGCAUUAGAUAUGUCUUUGCUCAGCCGUGAAAGCGUGGCUUUCUAUUUCAUGCAGUCAUGAAGGUUGCCUUGCUCUCCCACUCAUAGGGAAGGUAAUGGGCAGGUAAUAAAGCACUCCUCGUCCCAACAUCUGCAGCGGAAAAACAUUUGUAUUCAAAUCCAACGUAGAUUUUAUAGUUGUCGUUGAAGCGGAAUACAACCGAACAAUGUUGAGUUUGGCAGAAUGUUUUAUUAGGCUGAUAAAUUUAAAAUUGGCUGGAUAAUAAUAAAUUUACAAUAAUUUUUUUUCAAAGACUAAAAUAUGUUUCAAAUUUUGCUCGCUCAGGUUGUAUAUUCACAGCACAAUCGCCUUCAACACAAGGAUAGUAAGACAGAUUAAAGAAAUUUGAAUUUUGAUAAUAAGAUCCUAUUUCUCGCAAAGGAUAAAUUCAUCAAUCCACCGCGACAGUGUUUUGUAGUCAACCCUCUUAUGUUAACUUUCUCUAUCUAUCCUAAAACUUUCAUGAUUUUCGGAAAUGUUGGUUUUUCAUUGGCUAGUUUGUCUUUAGCAAUCAAAUUACGAAGAUGCAUUUGCUAUAUAUAGCAUCGCAGUUUUAAUAAACACAUAUAUACUUUAUUUUUAUCCCAAGUAAUCAUUAGUUUUGUAACUUAAUGUAAAUAGAAGCAUAUAAGAGCCCUUUGAGUUGUUGAAUGUAGUGUGUCAUUAUGAUUAGAAUUAGAAAUAAAUAAUAACAAACAAUCUCUUCCUGAAUUUGUCAUUCAGAUGGACAAUGCUAACCCAUUCCAAAGGUAUGAAAAGGAAAAAAAAUCUUUACAAAUCUAAAUCAUGACUAUAAUAUACAAAGUGUCCUAGCUAAUCUAUGUCAGUCUUCUUUAGUGUAAGAUUUAUAGCCCAUUGAAGCGAGAAGUAAUUUCCAUGAAAAUGUCUUCUGUGCAAGGAAUCGUGAGGCCACCCAUUGGGUGAUCAUAUCCAAAUUCUUCCUCUGCUUGACUCAAUAAGUUUUGAAAGGAAGCUUGGUUCAAGUAUGACAUGGGGAUAACAAACCGCUUCAUUUGCUCUCCAACAUAUACUGCAAGAUAGCCCUUUGGUACAUUCACAGCUUUUGAUGAUGCUUGGCUACUUGUAAAUGAAGUUCGUCUAAUAGCAGGUAAAUGGAAACCCAUUUCAAAUGUUUUGAUGAAAAAACUGAAUUUCUCUGAUUUAAGAAAAAUGUUUCUAAAUUUGUUUGCUUGAAUGAUUUGUGAAGUUGUGAAGAAGGACAGUGUAUUUAUAGAUUUCAAGUAUCUUUGAAAUUCAUUUGUUAGAAAAUGAUUGUUAAAAUGAUGGGGCCCAUGAGACAAGAGAUCACAUGGUAUUGUCUCAAGAGGUCAUACGCAAUCACAUUAUUUAUCAACUGUGAAUGACCGCAGCUUCAAAGUAGAUUUCAUGGUUUAAUUAUGCAUUGGAUUUCAAGCAAUAAUAGCAACCAAGUGUUCAAUUCUAUAGAAACCAGGACAAAAUACUUGAUAAGUAUGUUUAGAUCUUGUCUGAAACAUGUAAAGAAGGUCUCUUUCACAAACCUAAUCCUCAGUGAAAACCUCCAAGACAGUGGCAUGUGAUCAUUAAUGAGACAUGUCCCUAACUAAACCCCAUUGAAUAACUCAUUCACCAUACAAUUGGUUUCUUAAGUCUAUAUAUACCCCUCUUUGGAUUUACAAGCAACACAAAUAAUUCUUACCUUGAAGCAAUCAGAACUCAAGUUCACUUAUACUACUUCUUUGAGAUUUCAUUCUGUUGUGAAGAAACAAAAACAAGAAUGGGUUUUCGCUUACCUGGUAUUAGACGAUCAUCAUUUAGUGCAAGUCAAUCAUCUAUCAAACAAGUGGAAGUUCCAAAAGGCUAUCUUGCAGUGUAUGUUGGAGAGAAAAUGAGAAGGUUUAUGAUUCCAGUAUCAUUCUUGAAUGAGCCUUUAUUUCAAGAAUUGCUUAGCCAAUCUGAAGAGGAAUUCGGUUAUUGUCAUCCAAUGGGCGGUCUUACAAUUCCCUGCAAAGAAGACAUGUUCUUACAUACAACUUCUGUCUUGAACAGGCUAUAACUAAUUUGUAUGAAUGAUAACAUAGAUAUGGAUGAUAACAUAGGAGAGUAGGAUUGACCAGUUGAGACAAUUUUUGUACAUCAGAAAUUUCUUUGUCAAUUUUGAUGUUUCCUCUUAGGUGGAAAUCAUAAAUGAGAACCUUAUGAAACUAUAUUCUUGUGAAUUUGUGUUGUUUCUUGUGUCAUCUAAAAUAAUUAAAUUUCAUGCACAAACACAAGCCAGGACUGGUAAUUCUUUUACAUAUAUUACGGGGUCAUAUAAACCUUUGUUCAAAGAAAACCUUUCUUUAGACUAUAAGGAUAAGCGAAUUGUAAAUGAAGAAAUGAAUAUACUGACAGUUGAUCACAUAAACCAACGCUAGUAACCAAUUAAUCCGUGAGUUGCAUGUUUCUUGUGAUGUUUGAAGAAUGUGAUGGAGAUCGUAAUCACGAGGACUUCCCAUGAUCUUCACAUGGACUUGUCGUAAAAAAAAUAUAAUAACACAAUUAAGCUAAAAACAGUUAAAAGUAAAAAUGUUUUCUCUAGAGUGAUUCUACAGUUUUUUUUAAACCAUCCCUAUAGCAAAAUUAAAAGAGAAAUUGGCCAAAAUAAUAAGUACAAAUGAUGAUUCUUAGAAUUUACAUUGGAUCUAAUUCAACCUUAAGUGAGAGGUGUCAACCUUUACAGCAUCCUUUACAAUCAUCACAAGCUUGCAUUCAGAGGUUAGGUUUGUGUAAGACUUAAGUUGAUGAUUGAAUCUCACUGGACUUGGAAUAGUUGGAGGAGCUUUCUUUUUUCAUUUUAGCUUAAUAUCUCUCCCUAGAUGAAGAAGCAGUUGAUAGAAGCAAUGGACAUGUAAAAAAAUUGUGAGCUUAGAUCUAAGAUAACCUAUCAACUAUUAUAAUUUGGCUGAAUGUUUUAUUAUUAGGCCAGAGAAAUUUGCAGGAAUAUUGGAAGCUCGACAUUUCUUACAGGAGAUACCCUUAUGUCAUCAUUAUAACUCAAGAAAAUUUAGAUAUUGUUCGAUAUUUCUUUUUCUUUUUCUUUAUUUCAAGGAAUCACCAGUUUUAUAAUUUAUAAAUAGAAGCACAUAGGAGCUGAUUGAGUUAUUGAAUGGAUUCUGUCAUUAUUAUUAGAAAUAAAUAAUAACAAAUAAUUUGGUUCUGAAUGAAUUUGUCAUUUAGAUGGAUAAUUCUAACCCAUUCCAAAGGUAGAAAAAUGAAACAAAAUCUAUAAAAAUUUCUCUGCUAAUCUAUGUCAGUCUCCUUUAGUGUAAGAUUUAUAGCCCAUUGAAGCGAGAAGUAAUAUGCAAGAAAACAUCUUCUGUGCAGGGAAUUGUGAUGCCGCCCAUUAAUUGGAUGGUCAUAUCCAAAUUCUUCCUCGGCUUGACUCAACAAGUUUUGAAAUGAAGCUUGGUUCAAGUAUGACGUGGGGAUAACAAACCGCUUCAUUUGCUCUCCAAUGUACACUGCAAGAUAGCCCUUUGGCACAUUCAAUGCUUUUGAUGUUUGACUACUGCUGAAUGAAGCCCGUCUAAUAGCUGCAGGUAAACGGAAACCCAUUUCAAUUUUUUUUGAAGAACAAGACGAAUUUCUCAGAUGUAAGAUAAGUGUAUAU